RNAcentral lists this ribosomal RNA (459 nucleotides) under uncultured bacterium. Its description in RNAcentral is "partial 16S ribosomal RNA". It matches the Rfam family "Bacterial small subunit ribosomal RNA", at positions 338 to 795 of the family's 1533-position model. The record is from RNAcentral.
CCUACGGGAGGCAGCAGUGAGGAAUAUUGGUCAAUGGACGAGAGUCUGAACCAGCCAAGUAGCGUGAAGGAUGACUGCCCUAUGGGUUGUAAACUUCUUUUAUAUGGGAAUAAAAUGUUCCACGUGUGGGAUUUUGUAUGUACCAUAUGAAUAAGGAUCGGCUAACUCCGUGCCAGCAGCCGCGGUAAUACGGAGGAUCCGAGCGUUAUCCGGAUUUAUUGGGUUUAAAGGGAGAGUAGGUGGAUUGUUAAGUCAGUUGUGAAAGUUUGCUGCUCAACCGUAAAAUUGCAGUUGCAACUGGCAGUCUUGAGUACAGUAGAGGUGGGCGGAAUUCGUGGUGUAGCGGUGAAAUGCUUAGAUAUCACGAAGAACUCCGAUUGCGAAGGCAGUUCACUGGACUGCAACUGACACUGAGGCUCGAAAGUGUGGGUAUCAAACAGGAUUAGAUACCCUGUAGUC